Molecule: long non-coding RNA, 209 nt
Filed under: Capsicum annuum
Lineage: Eukaryota; Viridiplantae; Streptophyta; Magnoliopsida; Solanales; Solanaceae
Description: long non-coding RNA (CANN_LNC006890)
Source: RNAcentral
GGUGCCUUUGCAACAAGGAAAAGUGCAAAUAAGUAGAGCCUUGAUAAUUCCUUCUUAUCAGGAUCUUCAACCAUAUGACAGUUAUAAAGGAUGCGAUAUGUUGAACCUACUGAAAUAGGAGCCAUUGUUCCUCUUGCAUUACCCCUAAUGUUAAAUUUUUCAUUAUCGGUGCUAUGAUUUAAUUGCUAAAUCUAAAGGCUAAAUUUUUG